Long non-coding RNA from Brassica napus (rape), 4883 nucleotides. RefSeq lists it as uncharacterized. The record is from RefSeq and is a predicted model, not a curated record. Lineage: Eukaryota; Viridiplantae; Streptophyta; Magnoliopsida; Brassicales; Brassicaceae. The transcript is spliced from 4 exons.
GUGAUACAGACAAAGCCAAGAAGAUUAGGGAAGCCGCCAUCUUCACCAUCUCCUUCGUCGCUUGCGAUUCUCCUUCCGGCAAUCAGCUAUUAUGGUCGAUCUUUAAGGCUCUAUGCACGUUUUGCGCCUACCAAACGCUUAGUUUCUCCUCUAACGCCUUCAGAGCUCUCAUAUAUAUAGAAUCCCUCGAGGUAAAAGCUCCAUCUUGUCUCAAACUUUUCUUUCUCAGUUUUCCGAUCGCUUUACUUUCUCACAUCCGUCGCAAAAAUGACUUAUCCAGCUGCUCCAGCCGCAUCAGCCGCCAUUGCCGCCGUUCCCUACUCCACCUUCAACUCUCUCCGCCUUGGAAGGUCCACUCAGUCCAUUGUUGGUCGGCUCAUCCGAUUCUAGGAUUCCAGUAACAUUAACAAGAAUGGAGAGUUUAUGGACAUCACCAUUCUCCUCCUUGAUGAACUGGAUUCUGUGAUCCACAGUUUCAUCCCUGCAAUCUCCAAACAAAACAGGAAAACUGAAUGAAUUAUGUUUUUAGCAACCGAAUCUAAAAGAAAUAAAAGACAUCUUACUUAACAAAUUAAAACCUUUUAUUUUGCAGAUUCCGACGACGACGAAGCACCCGAGGACCAACGACAAUGGAAUGAUGCGGACGAAGCCUAACAGAUGUAAGUAAACUCCUCUUCAAUAAUGCAUCACACUAUUAUCGCUCCCCAAUCUCACAAACUUAAGCUCUAAUCAUGUCAGGGAUCCCACAGGUGAUGCUGUCCCGACGACGGAGAAAAAAAAAAGAAAGAUAACCUAACGUUUUUUUAUUUAUUUUUAGUUUUUAAGUUCAAAUCAUGUUUUAGACAUAGAGCCCAACAUAACUUGAGCCCAAAUAUUUUAAACCCACAAUUACUUUUUCAUAAUGUAAAAACGUCAACCUUCGUUUAUGUUUUAUUAAACUAUUUUAAUCUUUAUGUUUUGUUAAACUAUUUCACACAGGAGGCAGAUCUCCUUAGAAGGGGAGCCACUCGCCACGAUGCUUCCAGUUUCACCAUUCUUGAAACUCUUAUGAACCACAAAGCCAAUAUAAGAGCUCUGUUUCAAUCCAACGGCUGGCUUUUGUCACAGACCACCGCUAAGCCUGAAGAGGGAAGAGAAGUGGAGUGCUGCGUUUUGGAAGAUGGUUACUUGGAGUUUACAAGAUGAAGAUGGAACCCGUGACGAGGAAGACGAGGAGAAGUGUUACUUGGAAUAUCCUAACGUUAAGGAUGUGGACAAUGUGUGAUCUUAGCGAUGAAAAUUAGUGUAGCUUUAAUAUAUGCUACUACGGUCCUUGAGCUCCCUAACAAGUACUAGCAAACAAUGUGUAUUUUGAAAAAAUAAAAUAAUUUUGUAAUGCAAGUAGUUUGAAAUUUUGAGUAUUUAUUCAAACAACAGAUAUAUACAGAGUUGAUAACUUGAUAUGGACCCCCAAAUAAGUUGGUGCUGCGCUGUCACAAUAUCUGUCUUUUUAAUUUUCAUAUACCUGACGUAAGCUUCUUUAUCUUCUUCUCUUUCCCUUUCCGUUGUUCCACGCUCUCUGUUUCAUGUUUAUGCCUUUUUCACAUUCUCUAUGUUUUACCUUAAUUAUACUUUUUGAAUUUUUCUUCCGUUUUGGGAGAUGUCUCUAACUUGAGUUAAUCGUCAAAAGCUAGGAUCAAUUUUGUUGUCUUAUUUCCGAUAAAUUUUAUUCUUUAAUUUGCACAAAUCUUAAACAAUACCAACAUCCCGUAAAUCAUACCGCCCCACCGAUAUCCAAAGUAACCAGCCCCGCGCUUGCGCGGGGUCUCAGCACCUAGUACUAGAUAAUAUCACAACUCAUAUAUGAUAGUUUAUCUUUUUAAUUUGUAAUUUUUCAAAAUUAUGAAAAAUAUAAUGUAAAAUGGUUAAUAUAUUGUAAUAAAAUUUAAUGUUAUUCUUACAUUAUUAACCUAUCAAAAAUAUUCAUUAAUUUUUAUCAAAAAUUUAAGUAAUCGAAAUUUUUAUAUUCAAUGAUAUAGAAAACUUAUUAUAAUAAUAUUGAAAUGGACUUUAUCCCGCGAUAUCGCAGAAAGUCAUCUAGUAAUAUUUAUUUGGCAUAGGGCAUAAAAAUGUCUUGGAACGGCUCUGUUUAUUGACAUGGAAAGUGGCAAAAACACCGGCGCCUUGGGAAUGUAUAAUCACAAGUAGCACGCAUUGCUUUCUCGGCAUAGAUGCAAACCUCCCGGCAUUCACUAUCCUUCAUAUAAUUUUUACUCCCUGAAUUAGGUUGCCUCUUGCAUGACCUCUGCCCUUCCACAAUCGUUGGUGCUUCUUUUUAUAUACAUUUAUUCAUUAAUAUAAAAGUAAAUAAACAUACAAAUUUAUUUAAAUUGUUUAUGGAAACUCUGAAGUUAUAGUUUAGAAUGUCUUGAAAUAAAUUUUAUAUUGCUGAUUAUUUGUGUACCAAACUAAACCUACUGAUUAACAAAUAUUAAAAUUUCCAAAUAAAUCUAUAUUAUAUCUAAGUAAUAUAAUAGAAUAUUUUCAAAUUUAGUAUUUUAUGAAUUUACCAUAAAUCUAUUAUAUAAUAGAAGAGUUUCUCUCCCCCUGAUGCGACACGUCAGCGGUUUGUGGGUCCCACUUUUUAAAAGUGUGAAAAAGUGUCAAAUAUGUGAUUCAAACCCAGGUUAUUGAGAUAUAAACACCCACAACUACAACACUACACUAAAGGAUACUUUGUACAAUGAUGGCCGAAACUAAUAUAUAUUAUGAAGGUCGGAAAUUAAUAUAACAUUGUGGACCCCACCUCUUUUUUUUUUUUUAAAUUGAUGGGUAACGAAUGGAAUUCGACAAAAAGUGGGCUUUGGGCUUAUUGAUUUUCUGUUUAUUAGGCUUUGUAUCUGUCCAAAGUGGUGAUACAGACAAAGCUAAGAAGAUUAGGGAAGCCGCCAUCUUCACCAUCUCCUUCGUCGCUUGCGAUUCUCCUUCCGGCAAUCAGCUAUUAUGGUCGAUCUUUAAGGCUCUAUGCACGUUUUGCGCCUACCAAACGCUUAGUUUCUCCUCUAACGCCUUCAGAGCUCUCAUAUAUAUAGAAUCCCUCGAGGUAAAAGCUCCAUCUUGUCUCAAACUUUUCUUUCUCAGUUUUCCGAUCGCUUUACUUUCUCACAUCCGUCGCAAAAAUGACUUAUCCAGCUGCUCCAGCCGCAUCAGCCGCCAUUGCCGCCGUUCCCUACUCCACCUUCAACUCUCUCCGCCUUGGAAGGUCCACUCAGUCCAUUGUUGGUCGGCUCAUCCGAUUCUAGGAUUCCAGUAACAUUAACAAGAAUGGAGAGUUUAUGGACAUCACCAUUCUCCUCCUUGAUGAACUGGAUUCUGUGAUCCACAGUUUCAUCCCUGCAAUCUCCAAACAAAACAGGAAAACUGAAUGAAUUAUGUUUUUAGCAACCGAAUCUAAAAGAAAUAAAAGACAUCUUACUUAACAAAUUAAAACCUUUUAUUUUGCAGAUUCCGACGACGACGAAGCACCCGAGGACCAACGACAAUGGAAUGAUGCGGACGAAGCCUAACUGAUGGGGCAGAUCUCCUUAGAAGGGGAGCCACUCGCCACGAUGCUUCCAGUUUCACCAUUCUUGAAACUCUUAUGAACCACAAAUCCAAUAUAAGAGCUCUGUUUCAAUCCAACGGCUGAAUUUUGUCACAGACCACCGCUAAGCCUGAAGAGGGAAGAGAAGUGGAGUGCUGCGUUUUGGAAGAUGGUUACUUGGAGUUUACAAGAUGAAGAUGGAACCCGUGACGAGGAAGACGAGGAGAAGUGUUACUUGGAAUAUCCUAACGUUAAGGAUGUGGACAAUGUGUGAUCUUAGCGAUGAAAAUUAGUGUAGCUUUAAUAUAUGCUACUACGGUCCUUGAGCUCCCUAACAAGUACUAGCAAACAAUGUGUAUUUUGAAAAAAUAAAAUAAUUUUGUAAUGCAAGUAGUUUGAAAUUUUGAGUAUUUAUUCAAACAACGGAUAUAUACAGAGUUGAUAACUUGAUAUGGACCCCCAAAUAAGUUGGUGCUGCGCUGUCACAAUAUCUGUCUUUUUAAUUUUCAUAUACCUGACGUAAGCUUCUUUAUCUUCUUCUCUUUACCUUUCCGUUGUUCCACGCUCUCUGUUUCAUGUUUAUGCCUUUUUCACAUUCUCUAUGUUUUACCUUAAUUAUACUUUUUGAAUUUUUCUUCCGUUUUGGGAGAUGUCUCUAACUUGAGUUAAUCGUCAAAAGCUAGGAUCAAUUUUGUUGUCUUAUUUUCGAUAAAUUUUAUUCUUUAAUUUGCACAAAUCUUAAACAAUACCAACAUCCCGUAAAUCAUACCGCCCCACCGAUAUCCAAAGUAACCAGCCCCGCGCUUGCGCGGGGUCUCAGCACCUAGUACUAGAUAAUAUCACAACUCAUAUAUGAUAGUUUAUCUUUUUAAUUUGUAAUUUUUCAAAAUUAUGAAAAAUAUAAUGUAAAAUGGUUAAUAUAUUGUAAUAAAAUUUAAUGUUAUUCUUACAUUAUUAACCUAUCAAAAAUAUUCAUUAAUUUUUAUCAAAAAUUUAAGUAAUCGAAAUUUUUAUAUUCAAUGAUAUAGAAAACUUAUUAUAAUAAUAUUGAAAUGGACUUUAUCCCGCGAUAUCGCAGAAAGUCAUCUAGUAAUAUUUAUUUGGCAUAGGGCAUAAAAAUGUCUUGGAACGGCUCUGUUUAUUGACAUGGAAAGUGGCAGAAACACCGGCGCCUUGGGAAUGUAUAAUCACAAGUAGCACGUGUUGCUUUCUCGGCUUCGAUGCAAACCUUCCGGCAUUCACUAUCCUUCAUACAAUAUUUUCUCCCUGAAUUAGGCUGCCUCUUGCAUGACCUCUGCCCUUCCACAAUCGUUGGUGCUUC